UUUACCCUGUGCUGUACACUCUUCACUUGAAAAGAAACCAGCUGAUCAAGUUUUUGUGAACAGACUGCAUUAUACCUUAAGCCUUCGCAGAAGGCAGGAAUUGUGGUCACAGGCAGGCAGUGGUCAAACACAGGCAUGCAGUUAAAAACAAACAAUACCUCACAACCAUACAAACAGAAAGAACUGAACUAAAUAGGGAACUGAUGAGACCAGGUGAGAAACAAACACAGGUGAAAUCAAUGAACAAAAAUGAAAGACGGGGCUACGUUCCAGAACACAAAGAAAAAGAACACAAGGUUGACUAAGAAAAGAAAAGCAGAACCUUACACUGAGACACCAUCAUUGGAAUAAUUCACUGGAUACUACAAUCAAAGUCACAAAACAGCUACCUUUGCAUGGAAGUGUACGGUUACUGUGAACAAAAGGAUUAGUGUUUCAUAAUAGCUCCACAUUGUGCAUUUUCAGACAGGCAUUGGGAAAGAAAGUGAUGGACACAGGAAGGUCUGAACAUGUGUGUGUGAGCUCGGGCUGAACACGAGAGGGUGUCUGACUGGCUGAGAGAGGGGACGUCUAGGAAUGCUGAAGAUGUUUCCGGAUAUGAGACCAGUGAAUAUGAGAUCAGUGAGUCCAGUGAAGCAGAGAACUAGGACAACAAGUAACAUUUUACUAGGGAAAAAUAAACAUUUUUAAAUCUUGAAAGUGAAACUUGGUAUCCACAUGAUCAGACCAUGUAAAUUUAUUUAGCUAGUUUGACAAAAACAAAAGCUGACUGUAUGUAAUGUAGGCCUAUUUUUGCGUGUGAAAUUGCCCAAUGUUGUUUCUACAUGUACUGAGAUGACAUGGCUUGCUUGUGUCGGGUCGUGGAAAUUCUUACACAGGAACACUCAAAGUCAAUCUUGAAUGAAUCAUCAUUUAUUUGUCAGCGUGCUGCACCAUAGUACACAUGUCAAUCAGGAGCUCUCCCUGGGCAGUCCCAGCAGUUGUCUUAUAUACGGCUAUACACAGACAAGUUAUAUUUGCAUGAUUUAGCAUAAUUAAUUAAUCAUUACCAUUUUGUUUUAUUCAUGUGACUGACCAAUAAUGGUUCAUAACAUGUGACAGACCAAUGAGGGUUCUUCUCUCUAAGCUGAGACCUUGAAACUGAGAUAUCCUUCGUUUUCAAAACAAGGUCUGGGCGGACUGCCAAAUUGCAGCUACUGAUAGUGAGGAUUCGUUCAGUCAGCCACUUGCAUGAACACAGAAAUUGGUUUAUUAGAACAGCACAUGAAUUGAAAACAGAAAUUAUUAAUAAGAAAAGCACAAACAUUAAAAUUCCCAUUAUACUUGUUUCAAGUUUCAAAGUGUACUGUGCCUUUAUAAAGUAUUCACACCCUUUGA
This is a long non-coding RNA of Salmo salar (Atlantic salmon), 1377 nucleotides long. RefSeq lists it as uncharacterized. The record is from RefSeq and is a predicted model, not a curated record. Lineage: Eukaryota; Metazoa; Chordata; Actinopteri; Salmoniformes; Salmonidae.